AUGCCUCCCCCAUCCUCCCCAGAACCCCUCCCCCUUCCUGCCCAGCCUUCGCCCCAUCCUCACACACGUACGCACCCCCAUCCACCCCAGGACCCCUCGCCCCAUCCUCACACAUGUAUUCCUCCCCCAUCGACGCCAGCACCCAUCGCCCCAUCCUCACACAUGUAUCCCUCCCCCAUCGACACCAGCACCCAUCGCCCCAUCCUCACACAUGUAUCCCUCCCCAUCCAUCCCAGCACCCAUCGCCCCAUCCUCACACAUGUAUCCCUUCCCAUCCACCCCAGCACCCAUCGCCCCAUCCUCACACAUGUAUCCCUCCCACAUCCACCCCAGCACCCCUCACCCCAUCCUCACACAUAUAUCCCUAGCCCCAUCCACCCCAGCACCCUUCACCCCAUCCUCACAUAUGUAUCCCUCCCCCAUGCACCCCAGUACCCAUUGCCCCAUCCUCACACAUGUAUCCCUCCCCAUCAACCCCAGCACCCGUCGCCCCAUCCUCACACACGUAUCCCUCCCCCAUCCACCCCAGCACCCUGGCCCCAUCCUCACAGAUGUAUCCCUCCCCAUCCACCCCAGCACCCAUCGCCCCAUCCUCACACACGUAUCCCUCCCCCAUCCACCCCAGCACCCUGGCCCCAUCCUCACACAUGUAUCCCUCCCCCAUCCACCCCAGCACCCAUCGCCCCAUCCUCACACAUGUACGCCUCCCCCACCCCCCCAGCACCCAUCGCCCCAUCCUCACACAUGUAUCGCUCCCCCAUCCACCCCAGCACCCCUCGCCCCAUCCUCACACAUGUAUCCCUCCCCCAUGCACCCCAGCACCCAUCGCCCCAUCAUCACACAUGUAUCCCUCCCCUUUCCACCCCAGCAUCUAUCACCCCAUCCUCACACAUGUAUCCCUCCCCAUCAACCCCAGCACCCGUCGCCCCAUCCUCACACACGUAUCCCUCCCCCAUCCACCCCAGCACCCUGGCCCCAUCCUCACAGAUGUAUCCCUCCCCAUCCACCCCAGCACCCAUCGCCCCAUCCUCACACACGUAUCCCUCCCCCACCCCCCCAGCACCCAUCGCCCCAUCCUCACACAUGUAUCGCUCCCCCAUCCACCCCAGCACCCCUCGCCCCAUCCUCACACAUGUAUCCCUUCCCCAUCCACCCCAGCACCCCUCACCCCAUCCUCACACGUAUCCCUCCCUCAUCCACCCCAGCACCCAUCGCCCCAUCCUCACACAUGUAUGCCUCCCCCAUCCCCCUCAGCACCCAUCGCCCCAUCCUCACACAUGUAUCCCUUCCCAUCCACCCCAGCACCCAUCGCCCCAUCCUCACACAUGUAUCCCUCCCACAUCCACCCCAGCACCCUUCACCCCAUCCUCACAUAUGUAUCCCUCCCCCAUCCACCCCAGCACCCAUCGCCCCAUCCUCACACAUGUAUCCCUCCCCCAUCCAUACCCAGCACCCCUCACCCCAUCCUCACACAUGUAUCCCUCCCCAUCCACCCCAGCACCGCUCUCCCCAUCCUCACACAUGUAUCCCUCCCCCAUGCACCCCAGCACCCUUCACCCCAUCCUCACACAUGUAUCCCUCCCCCAUCCACUCCAGCACCCCUCACCCCAUCCUCACACAUGUAUCCCUCCCCCAUGCACCCCAGCACCCUUCACCCCAUCCUCACACAUGUAUCCCUCCCACAUCCACCCCAGCACCCAUCGCCCCAUCAUCACACAUGUAUCCCUCCCCUAUCCACCCCAGCAUCUAUCACCCCAUCCUCACACAUGUAUCCCUCCCACAUCCACCCCAGCACCCCUCACCCUAUCCUCACACAUGUAUCCCUCCCCCAUGCACCCCAGCACCAUUGCUCCAUCCUCACACAUGUAUCCCUCCCCAUCCACCCCAGCACCAUCGCCCCAUCCUCACACAUGUAUCCCUCCCCCAUCCACCUCAGCACCCAUCGCCCCAUCCUCACACAUGUAUCCCUCCCCCAUCCACCCCAGCACCCAUCGCCCCAUCCUCACACAUGUAUCCCUCCCCAUCCACUCCAGCACCCAUCGCCCCAUCAUCACACAUGUAUCGCUCCCCAUCCACCCCAGCACCCCUCACCCCAUCCUCACACAUGUAUCCCUAGCCCCAUCCACCCCAGCACCCCUCACCCCAUCCUCACACAUGUAUCCCUCCCCCAUGCACCCCAGUACCCAUUGCCCCAUCCUCACACAUGUAUCCCUCCCCUUUCCACCCCAGCAUCUAUCACCCCAUCCUCACACAUGUAUCCCUCCCCCAUGCACCCCAGCACCCAUCGCCCCAUCAUCACACAUGUAUCCCUCCCCUUUCCACCCCAGCAUCUAUCACCCCAUCCUCACACAUGUAUCCCUCCCCCAUCCACCCCAGCACCCCUCGCCCCAUCCUCACACAUGUAUCCCUCCCCAUCCACCCCAGCACCAUUGCUCCAUCCUCACACAUGUAUCCCUCCCCAUCCACCCCAGCACCAUCGCCCCAUCCUCACGCAUGUACCCCUCCCCCAUCCACCCCAGCACCGCUCUCCCCAUCCUCACACAUGUAUCCCUCCCCCAUCCACCCCAGCACCCCUCGCCCCAUCCUCACACAUGUAUCGCUCCCCAUCCACCCCAGCACCCAUCGCCCCAUCCUCACACAUGUACCCCUCCCCCAUCCACCCCAGCACCCCUCGCCCCAUCCUCACACAUGUAUCCCUCCCCAUCCACCCCAGCACCGCUCUCCCCAUCCUCACACAUGUAUCCCUCCCCAUCCACUCCAGCACCCAUCGCCCCAUCAUCACACAUGUAUCGCUCCCCAUCCACCCCAGCACCCAUCGCCCCAUCCUCACACAUGUACCCCUCCCCCAUCCACCCCAGCACCCAUCGCCCCAUCCUCACACAUGUAUCCCUCCCCAUCCACUCCAGCACCGCUCUCCCCAUCCUCACACAUGUAUCCCUCCCCCAUGCACCCCAGCACCCCUCACCCCAUCCUCACACAUGUAUCCCUAGCCCCAUCCACCCCAGCACCCCUCACCCCAUCCUCACACAUGUAUCCCUCCCCCAUGCACCCCAGCACCCAUCGCCCCAUCAUCACACAUGUAUCCCUCCCCUUUCCACCCCAGCAUCUAUCACCCCAUCCUCACACAUGUAUCCCUCCCCCAUCCACCCCAGCACCCCUCGCCCCAUCCUCACACAUGUAUCCCUCCCCAUCCACCCCAGCACCCAUCGCCCCAUCCUCACACAUGUAUCCCUCCCCAUCCACCCCAGCACCAUCGCCCCAUCCUCACACAUGUAUCCCUCCCCCAUCCACCCCAGCACCCCUCGCCCCAUCCUCACACAUGUAUCCCUCCCCAUCCACCCCAGCACCAUUGCUCCAUCCUCACACAUGUAUCCCUCCCCAUCCACCCCAGCACCAUCGCCCCAUCCUCACACAUGUACCCCUCCCCCAUCCACCCCAGCACCGCUCUCCCCAUCCUCACACAUGUAUCCCUCCCCAUCCACUCCAGCACCGCUCUCCCCAUCCUCACACAUGUAUCCCUCCCCCAUGCACCCCAGCACCGCUCUCCCCAUCCUCACACAUGUAUCCCUCCCCCAUCCACCCCAGCACCCCUCGCCCCAUCCUCACACAUGUAUCGCUCCCCAUCCACCCCAGCACCCCUCACCCCAUCCUCACACAUGUAUCCCUCCCCCAUGCACCCCAGUACCCAUUGCCCCAUCCUCACACAUGUAUCCCUCCCCUUUCCACCCCAGCAUCUAUCACCCCAUCCUCACACAUGUAUCCCUCCCCCAUGCACCCCAGCACCCAUCGCCCCAUCAUCACACAUGUAUCCCUCCCCAUCCACCCCAGCACCAUUGCUCCAUCCUCACACAUGUAUCCCUCCCCAUCCACCCCAGCACCAUCGCCCCAUCCUCACGCAUGUACCCCUCCCCCAUCCACCCCAGCACCGCUCUCCCCAUCCUCACACAUGUAUCCCUCCCCCAUCCACCCCAGCACCCCUCGCCCCAUCCUCACACAUGUAUCGCUCCCCAUCCACCCCAGCACCCAUCGCCCCAUCCUCACACAUGUACCCCUCCCCCAUCCACCCCAGCACCCCUCGCCCCAUCCUCACACAUGUAUCCCUCCCCAUCCACCCCAGCACCGCUCUCCCCAUCCUCACACAUGUAUCCCUCCCCAUCCACUCCAGCACCCAUCGCCCCAUCAUCACACAUGUAUCGCUCCCCAUCCACCCCAGCACCCAUCGCCCCAUCCUCACACAUGUAUCCCUCCCCAUCCACUCCAGCACCGCUCUCCCCAUCCUCACACAUGUAUCCCUCCCCCAUGCACCCCAGCACCCCUCACCCCAUCCUCACACAUGUAUCCCUAGCCCCAUCCACCCCAGCACCCCUCACCCCAUCCUCACACAUGUAUCCCUCCCCCAUGCACCCCAGCACCCAUCGCCCCAUCAUCACACAUGUAUCCCUCCCCAUCCACCCCAGCAUCUAUCACCCCAUCCUCACACAUGUAUCCCUCCCCCAUCCACCCCAGCACCCCUCGCCCCAUCCUCACACAUGUAUCCCUCCCCAUCCACCCCAGCACCCAUCGCCCCAUCCUCACACAUGUAUCCCUCCCCAUCCACCCCAGCACCAUCGCCCCAUCCUCACACAUGUACCCCUCCCCCAUCCACCCCAGCACCAUCGCCCCAUCCUCACACAUGUAUCCCUCCCCCAUCCACCCCAGCACCCCUCGCCCCAUCCUCACACAUGUAUCCCUCCCCAUCCACCCCAGCACCAUUGCUCCAUCCUCACACAUGUAUCCCUCCCCAUCCACCCCAGCACCAUCGCCCCAUCCUCACACAUGUACCCCUCCCCCAUCCACCCCAGCACCGCUCUCCCCAUCCUCACACAUGUACCCCUCCCCCAUCCACCCCAGCACCCCUUGCCCAGCGCCUCAAGCACUCCCCUUACCCCCAUCUGCAUGCAUAUACCCUUUUCCACAUACAUGAUGCUCCCCUCAGCAUUCUUUCAGUGCCCCCCCGCCCGUGCCCUUUGCCUCCCCACCAGUCGCCAGGCAGCUCACCAGCGUAAGGCACCUGGCCAUGUGGCUGCCGUGCCCUGA
RNAcentral lists this long non-coding RNA (5076 nucleotides) under Gopherus evgoodei (Goodes thornscrub tortoise). RNAcentral's name for it is "lncRNA (ENSGEVG00005005261.1)". The record is from RNAcentral. Lineage: Eukaryota; Metazoa; Chordata; Testudines; Testudinidae.